RNAcentral lists this long non-coding RNA (865 nucleotides) under Rattus norvegicus (Norway rat). RNAcentral's name for it is "long non-coding RNA NONRATT012929". The record is from RNAcentral. Lineage: Eukaryota; Metazoa; Chordata; Mammalia; Rodentia; Muridae.
UCAUUUCAGACUUCUGGUAGGCGACUUUUGGCUUCAAAACCCUGAAAACUGUGUCCUAGACCACCCCGACACUACCAUUUUCUGAACAUCUUCCCAUAAAGAAUAAUGAAUAUUGAACACCAGGAUACCAAAAAAGCUCAUCUAAUCUACUCAAGUAUCACUGUGUACUCUGUUUCAAGAUGCAAAUGAAGUGGGGAUUUUCCUAUGCUGGACAGAGUGUACAGUUACCUGGCCAUGAGGUCUUGGGUCAUUGCUGAAGGGAGAUUCAUGAGGAUGCCAGAAUUAUCCUACUGAAUAGACCAUGAGCUACUUGGAGACAGAAUUGGAGAAGAUACAGUCUCUGGUCUCAGUAUGGAUGUGUAAGCAGGUGAAAUACGUUAUGACAUUUCCCUGUCUAAUUCUUCGCUGGAGUACACAAGAAUCUGCAUACUUUGGCCUGUGGCUUGGGACUUCAGAUCCACGUCUUUAAGACCUGGUGAGCCAGCCAGAAGAAAGAGCUGAAGGUGCCCCAUGGCCAGAUCCAAGUGUAUGCCUGGACUCUCUUCUGCUUCUCCAUAUUGGGAUAUAAGUCCAGCAAAAGAAGUAACCAUUGGCCAAGGACAGAUGCCGAGACCAUCAUUAAAAUUGAGAAGCAGCGCUGGAGAGAUGAUUCAGCAGUUAAGAGCACUUGCUGUUCUUACAAAGGGCCUGUCUGGAUUUCAUUCCCGGUGCCCACAUGGAAGCUCACAGUUGUCUGUAAUUCCAGUUCCAAGGAAUCUGUCACACUCUUCUGACUUCCUUGGGCACAAGCAUACACGAGAUGUAUACUCAUAUGUAGGCAAAAUAUUCAUACACAUAUGACAAAAUAAAUCUAAAAUAUUGACAU